GUUUUGUUAAGCUAAAGGGGUAAACCCACCAGUGUUAUGUAUUAUAUAUCUUUUAAUUUACAGCUUUGCAUUCAAAACCAGGGAUUUCACAUAAAAAGAAGAUGGAACACAUGAAGUAGAGGUUGUCAUGGAUGAUAAAGUUAAAUCCCUUCUGCUGAAUUUGUUCUGCUGUAACAGACUGAUGCCUGAGCAGGUGCUGAGGAAUGAUUGCUUCCUUGCAGUUGAUGUGAUUCCAGUUUCACUGCACCCAGGUGAAAAAUAUGAGCCUCAUAAAAACCAAAAUUCUGAAACAACAGAUUAAAAAAGGGAUUAACCAAGGAGAAUGGAGCAAAACCCUACUCAAUAGAUGAAAACUUUUCCAUCAGGUGUUUGAGACUUCUGUUUUGAAAUCAUUGCCCUGAUCUGAAAUAUCAAAGUAUAAAAGGUUUGGUAGGUGCAUUAAUUUUUUAAGAUUAUACAGUCUUCACUGUUUUCUUUUCAGUAUGUUUUAUUCUAAUUAAGUAUUUGGAGUUAUAAGUGUGAUUUUACUGGUUGUAUUCUUGGUUUGUCAGCCUUUUUCUUUACUCGUAUGUAGACUUUAAAUUUACAGAGACCAGUCCUGUUAGAUGCCAGAGAUCUUUAAGAUGAAACUUUAGUGAGUUGGUUUUUUAUUGAGUUUUCUAUCGCUCUUCAUGCUCUAAAUACAGAGAACAUAUUCCUCUUAAAGAUGUUACAGGAUAGUAUUUUGCUGAAUAAUUUUUUUAUUACAUAGACCGGUUGUUCUUACAGUAACUGCCUUCAGGAUUUAAGUAAACACCCCAAAAUUCUGCUUUGAAAACUGAUAAAAGAAAUGGUGAGCACCCUUCCUCUUUUCUUUUUUGCCUUUGAAAAAUGCAAUUGGCUUUCUAGAGAGCAGCCAUUCUUCUACUUGCUCCUUUGCUGUGCUGCUGCCAACCAAAAUAUUCUACACACACCUUUGCAGAACUGACUGUUUUUGCAAAAGCUACUGCUCUGUGUGCAUAUAUCACCUGUUACUAAAUGUUUUUUUGCAGUAGCUA
RNAcentral lists this long non-coding RNA (1037 nucleotides) under Taeniopygia guttata (zebra finch). Its description in RNAcentral is "lncRNA (ENSTGUG00000026247.1)". The record is from RNAcentral. Lineage: Eukaryota; Metazoa; Chordata; Aves; Passeriformes; Estrildidae.